Molecule: ribosomal RNA, 1079 nt
Filed under: Lactiplantibacillus plantarum
Lineage: Bacteria; Bacillati; Bacillota; Bacilli; Lactobacillales; Lactobacillaceae
Description: bacterial SSU rRNA
Rfam family: Bacterial small subunit ribosomal RNA
Source: RNAcentral
UUUACAUUUGAGUGAGUGGCGAACUGGUGAGUAACACGUGGGAAACCUGCCCAGAAGCGGGGGAUAACACCUGGAAACAGAUGCUAAUACCGCAUAACAACUUGGACCGCAUGGUCCGAGCUUGAAAGAUGGCUUCGGCUAUCACUUUUGGAUGGUCCCGCGGCGUAUUAGCUAGAUGGUGGGGUAACGGCUCACCAUGGCAAUGAUACGUAGCCGACCUGAGAGGGUAAUCGGCCACAUUGGGACUGAGACACGGCCCAAACUCCUACGGGAGGCAGCAGUAGGGAAUCUUCCACAAUGGACGAAAGUCUGAUGGAGCAACGCCGCGUGAGUGAAGAAGGGUUUCGGCUCGUAAAACUCUGUUGUUAAAGAAGAACAUAUCUGAGAGUAACUGUUCAGGUAUUGACGGUAUUUAACCAGAAAGCCACGGCUAACUACGUGCCAGCAGCCGCGGUAAUACGUAGGUGGCAAGCGUUGUCCGGAUUUAUUGGGCGUAAAGCGAGCGCAGGCGGUUUUUUAAGUCUGAUGUGAAAGCCUUCGGCUCAACCGAAGAAGUGCAUCGGAAACUGGGAAACUUGAGUGCAGAAGAGGACAGUGGAACUCCAUGUGUAGCGGUGAAAUGCGUAGAUAUAUGGAAGAACACCAGUGGCGAAGGCGGCUGUCUGGUCUGUAACUGACGCUGAGGCUCGAAAGUAUGGGUAGCAAACAGGAUUAGAUACCCUGGUAGUCCAUACCGUAAACGAUGAAUGCUAAGUGUUGGAGGGUUUCCGCCCUUCAGUGCUGCAGCUAACGCAUUAAGCAUUCCGCCUGGGGAGUACGGCCGCAAGGCUGAAACUCAAAGGAAUUGACGGGGGCCCGCACAAGCGGUGGAGCAUGUGGUUUAAUUCGAAGCUACGCGAAGAACCUUACCAGGUCUUGACAUACUAUGCAAAUCUAAGAGAUUAGACGUUCCCUUCGGGGACAUGGAUACAGGUGGUGCAUGGUUGUCGUCAGCUCGUGUCGUGAGAUGUUGGGUUAAGUCCCGCAACGAGCGCAACCCUUAUUAUCAGUUGCCAGCAUUAAGUUGGGCACUCUGGGUG